This 261-nucleotide ribosomal RNA is filed under the name uncultured archaeon. RNAcentral's name for it is "partial 16S ribosomal RNA". It matches the Rfam family "Archaeal small subunit ribosomal RNA", at positions 748 to 1009 of the family's 1478-position model. The record is from RNAcentral.
CAGCCGUAAACUAUGCUCGCUAGGUGUCAGGGACGGUGCGACCGUUUCUGGUGCCGCAGGGAAGCCGUGAAGCGAGCCACCUGGGAAGUACGGUCGCAAGGCUGAAACUUAAAGGAAUUGGCGGGGGAGCACUACAACGGGUGGAGCCUGCGGUUUAAUUGGACUCAACGCCGGAAAACUCACCGGAUAAGACAGCGGAAUGAUUGCCGGGCUGAAGACCCUGCAUGACCAGCUGAGAGGAGGUGCAUGGCGUAGUCGUGU